This 76-nucleotide transfer RNA is filed under the name Hampala macrolepidota (Hampala barb). Its description in RNAcentral is "tRNA-Lys". It matches the Rfam family "tRNA". From Rfam's summary of the family: Transfer RNA (tRNA) molecules are approximately 80 nucleotides in length. Their secondary structure includes four short double-helical elements and three loops (D, anti-codon, and T loops). Further hydrogen bonds mediate the characteristic L-shaped molecular structure. tRNAs have two regions of fundamental functional importance: the anti-codon, which is responsible for specific mRNA codon recognition, and the 3' end, to which the tRNAs corresponding amino acid is attached (by aminoacyl-tRNA synthetases). tRNAs cope with the degeneracy of the genetic code in two manners: having more than one tRNA (with a specific anti-codon) for a particular amino acid; and 'wobble' base-pairing, i.e. permitting non-standard base-pairing at the 3rd anti-codon position. RNAcentral also lists the same sequence under 4 other names. The record is from RNAcentral. Lineage: Eukaryota; Metazoa; Chordata; Actinopteri; Cypriniformes; Cyprinidae.
CGCUAGGAAGCUAAAUACUGGACAAAGCAUUGGCCUUUUAAGCCAAAGACUGGUGAUUCCCGACCACCCCUAGUGA